ACAUAAGGAUUCCCUAGUACGGCGAGUGAGCGGGAAGAGCUCAAAUUUGAAAUCUGGUGGCCUCAGGUCAUCCGAGUUGUAAUCUAUAGAAGUGUUUUCCGUGCUGGCUCAUGUACAAGUCCCUUGGAACAGGGCGUCAUAGAGGGUGAGAAUCCCGUCCUUGACAUGAACUACCAGUGCUCUGUGAUACAUUUUCAACGAGUCGAGUUGUUUGGGAAUGCAGCUCAAAAUGGGUGGUAAAUUCCAUCUAAAGCUAAAUAUUGGCGAGAGACCGAUAGCGAACAAGUACCGUGAGGGAAAGAUGAAAAGCACUUUGGAAAGAGAGUUAAACAGUAUGUGAAAUUGUUGAAAGGGAAACGAUUGAAGUCAGUCGUGCUCUUUGGAUUCAGCCGGUUCUGCCGGUGUACUUCCUUUGAGUGGGGUCAACAUCAGUUUUGAUCGCUGGAUAAAGGCUGGAGGAACGUAGUACCCUCGGGUAAACUUAUAGCCUCCUGUCACAUACAGUGGUUGGGACUGAGGAACGCAGCACGCCUUUAUGGCCGGGAUUCGUCCACGUACGUGCUUAGGAUGUUGACAUAAUGGCUUUAAACGACCCGUCUGA
This 601-nucleotide ribosomal RNA is filed under the name Filobasidium elegans. Its description in RNAcentral is "partial large subunit ribosomal RNA". It matches the Rfam family "Eukaryotic large subunit ribosomal RNA", at positions 66 to 656 of the family's 3401-position model. Lineage: Eukaryota; Fungi; Basidiomycota; Tremellomycetes; Filobasidiales; Filobasidiaceae. The record is from RNAcentral.